This 289-nucleotide ribosomal RNA is filed under the name uncultured bacterium. RNAcentral's name for it is "partial 16S ribosomal RNA". It matches the Rfam family "Bacterial small subunit ribosomal RNA", at positions 775 to 1067 of the family's 1533-position model. The record is from RNAcentral.
GGAUUAGAUACCCUGGUAGUCCACGCAGUAAACGAUGAUUACUAGCUGUUUGUGAUAUACAAUAAGUGGCUAAGCGAAAGCGAUAAGUAAUCCACCUGGGGAGUACGCCGGCAACGGUGAAACUCAAAGGAAUUGACGGGGGCCCGCACAAGCGGAGGAACAUGUGGUUUAAUUCGAUGAUACGCGAGGAACCUUACCCGGGCUUGAAAUGCAUCUGACGAUAGAGGAAACUUUAUUUCUAGCAAUAGCAGAUGUGUAGGUGCUGCAUGGUUGUCGUCAGCUCGUGCCG